RNAcentral lists this ribosomal RNA (1516 nucleotides) under metagenome. RNAcentral's name for it is "bacterial SSU rRNA". It matches the Rfam family "Bacterial small subunit ribosomal RNA". The record is from RNAcentral.
AGAGUUUGAUCCUGGCUCAGAACGAACACUGGCGGCGUGGAUUAGGCAUGCAAGUCGAACGAGAAAGUUUCCUUCGGGAAAUGAGUACAGUGGCGAACGGGUGAGUAACGCGUGGGAAACCUGCCCUACAAUGGGGGAUAACAGUUCUAACGAGCUGCUAAUACCGCAUACGACCUUCGGAUCGCAUGGUCUGAAGGUGAAAGGUGGCCUCUCUUUGAAGCUGCCGUUGAAGGAUGGUCCCGCGUCCCAUUAGCUAGUUGGUAGGGUAAUGGCCUACCAAGGCGACGAUGGGUAGCCGGCCUGAGAGGGUGUCCGGCCACACUGGGACUGAGAUACGGCCCAGACUCCUACGGGAGGCAGCAGUCGAGAAGCUUCCGCAAUGGGCGAAAGCCUGACGGAGCGACGCCGCGUGAGUGAAGAAGGCCCUAUGGGUUGUAAAACUCUGUCAGAUUGGGAAGAAAAUUCUGCGGUUAAUACCCGUGGAACUUGACGGUACCAUCAGAGGAAGCACCGGCUAACUCCGUGCCAGCAGCCGCGGUAAUACGGAGGGUGCAAGCGUUGUUCGGAUUCACUGGGUAUAAAGGGUGCGCAGGCGGCCCGAUAAGUCAGAGGUGAAAUAUGACGGCUCAACCGUCAAACUGCCUCUGAAACUGUCAGGCUUGAGUUCGAGAGAGGUAGGUGGAAUUCCAGGUGUAGCGGUGAAAUGCGUAAAUAUCUGGAGGAACACCGGUGGCGAAGGCGGCCUACUGGCUCGAUACUGACGCUCAGGCACGAAAGCAUGGGGAGCGAACGGGAUUAGAUACCCCGGUAGUCCAUGCCGUAAACGAUGGGUACUAGGUGUUGGGGGAGUCUACCCCCUCAGUGCCGCAGCUAAUGCAUUAAGUACCCCACCUGGGGAGUACGAUCGCAAGGUUGAAACUCAAAGGAAUUGACGGGGGCCCGCACAAGCGGUGGAGCAUGUGGUUUAAUUCGAUGCAACGCGAAGAACCUUACCUGGGCUUGACAUGCAGGGGACAGGUGUAGAAAUACAUCCUUCUUCGGACUCCUGUACAGGUGCUGCAUGGCUGUCGUCAGCUCGUGUCGUGAAAUGUUGGGUUAAGUCCCGCAACGAGCGCAACCCUUGUCUUUAGUUGCCAUCAGGUAAUGCUGGGGACUCUAGAGAGACUGCCGGUGAUAAACCGGAGGAAGGUGGGGAUGACGUCAAGUCAGCAUGGCCCUUACGCCUAGGGCUACACACGUGCUACAAUGGCCGGUACAAUGGGCAGCAAUACAGCGAUGUGGAGCGAAUCCCAAAAAGCCGGCCUCAGUUCGGAUCGUAGUCUGCAACUCGACUACGUGAAGUUGGAAUCGCUAGUAAUCGCGUAUCAGAACGACGCGGUGAAUACGUUCCCGGGCCUUGUACACACCGCCCGUCAAGUCAACCGAGUUGGUUGCACCCCAAGUCGCUGAGCUAACCCGAAAGGGAGGCAGGUGCCCAAGGUGUGAUUAGCGAGGGGGACUAAGUCGAAACAAGGUA